AGUGGCGGACGGGUGAGUAACGCGUAGGAAUCUACCAAGUAGUGGGGGACAACAGUUGGAAACGACUGCUAAUACCGCAUAAUCCCUGAGGGGCAAAGGAGGGGAUCUGUUUACGGAUCGCUAUUUGAUGAGCCUGCGUGAGAUUAGCUAGUUGGUGAGGUAAUGGCUCACCAAGGCGACGAUCUCUAGCUGGUCUGAGAGGGUGAUCAGCCACACUGGAACUGAGACACGGUCCAGACUCCUACGGGAGGCAGCAGUGGGGAAUAUUGCACAAUGGGGGAAACCCUGAUGCAGCCAUGCCGCGUGUGUGAAGAAGGCCUUCGGGUUGUAAAGCACUUUCAGCGAGGAGGAAAGGAGUCGGUUUAAUAAACCUGCUCUGUGACGUUACUCGCAGAAGAAG
Molecule: ribosomal RNA, 400 nt
Filed under: uncultured bacterium
Lineage: Bacteria
Description: bacterial SSU rRNA
Rfam family: Bacterial small subunit ribosomal RNA
Source: RNAcentral